Molecule: long non-coding RNA, 415 nt
Filed under: Homo sapiens (human)
Lineage: Eukaryota; Metazoa; Chordata; Mammalia; Primates; Hominidae
Description: non-protein coding lnc-ABO-1:2
Source: RNAcentral
GUGCUCUUGGGAUUGUAACAGGCACAGGCAGCACCCUUCUACAGAAGUAAAAGUGACUUGCUGAGAAAUUUUCUAAGUGCGGGUUUCUUUUCGCUACACCGAGCACUUGUUUCCAACACAUGCAAACCAGAAUGGAGGUCUCCCUGGACCUGGGUUUGGGCCACAAGCUUGCAAGACCUUGGGCAAGACUGUUCCCUCUUCUGAACCAAGUCCUUCCCUGGCCCAGCCGCUUGGUUCCAGCUGGGGCUCCUUACAAAAGAGAAAAACAGUUCAUUAAUGCAUGUAGUGCACCUCACUGAAGAAGCUUCAACAAAAAGCAACUCAGAACAGUGACUUAGAACUGGGUUAUGGAGCAACUUCAACAAAGAAUAAUCAACGUGUGGGGAAAUGACAGGACCCAGGAGAGCGGUUUUAG